Long non-coding RNA from Lethenteron reissneri (Far Eastern brook lamprey), 922 nucleotides. RefSeq lists it as uncharacterized. The record is from RefSeq and is a predicted model, not a curated record. NCBI's taxonomy places the organism in Eukaryota, Metazoa, Chordata, Hyperoartia, Petromyzontiformes, Petromyzontidae.
GCGGCGCUCAGUAGGGCUACCACCGCCACCACCACCGCCGCCACCACCACCGCCACCACCACCGCCGCUGCUGCUGCUGCCCUUGGCGUGGUUUUCGCCGACGGAUUUGACUUUUUUUGUGUGGAAUUCGCGCGAUAAAGGGGCAUCCCAAGAGACGCGCCCUCUCUCUCCUCCCGCUCCCUCCUCUCUCUGCCGGAGCUUGAGAGCGGCAAUCCCCGUCCAACUCACAUCCCUCUCACACCGCACCCGUCUCGUCGUCUCUGCUUCACCUCUGCACCACGUGGUCGUCUCUGCUUCACCUGCGCACCACGUGGUCGUCUCUGCUUCACCGCUGCACCACGUGGUCGCCUCUGCUUCACCUGUGCACCACGUGGUCGCCUCUGCUUCACCGCUGCACCACGUGGUGGCCUCUGCUUCACCUGUGCACCACGUGGUCGCCUCUGCUUCACCGCUGCACCACGUGGUCGCCUCUGCUUCACCGCUGCACCACGUGGCCCCUGGCUGCGGAAGACGCGAUUCGUACGGCGGCCGCCGUCGAGGUGCAACGUCGAGGAGGCGGGAGUGGAGGUGGUGGGGGGAGCUUCGGUAGAGAGAGAGUGGGUGGGUGUGUGGGUGGGUGUGUGGGGGGUGGCAGGCGACCGAAGAGAAAACGGAGAGUGAAGAAUAAUCGAGGAGGAGGAGGAGGGAGGGGGGACCCGGAGGGAACGACGCUCCUCGCUCGGCGCGCCCGAGUGGAGGUGUCGGCAAGGGGAGAGGCGAGCGCACGGCAGGCAGCAGAUGCAGACCAGAUGUGACUCGGCUGGCCGAGCGAGGUGACUGCGAGCGAGGUGACUGCACGCGACGCGGCAUCGGCGGCCUCGGCCCAUCUCGCCACUCGCCCCCCAGCCCCCCCCCCAGCCCCCCCGCAGGCACCACGACGUCG